This 75-nucleotide transfer RNA is filed under the name Mesorhizobium sp. M8A.F.Ca.ET.021.01.1.1. Its description in RNAcentral is "tRNA-Thr". It matches the Rfam family "tRNA". Rfam says of the family: Transfer RNA (tRNA) molecules are approximately 80 nucleotides in length. Their secondary structure includes four short double-helical elements and three loops (D, anti-codon, and T loops). The record is from RNAcentral. Lineage: Bacteria; Pseudomonadati; Pseudomonadota; Alphaproteobacteria; Hyphomicrobiales; Phyllobacteriaceae.
GCCGACAUGGUCCAGAGGUACGGACGUUCCCUUGGUAUGGGAAGGACCUUGGUUCAAUCCCAAGUGUUGGCACCA